Pseudophryne corroboree (corroboree frog) is the source of this 384-nucleotide long non-coding RNA. RefSeq lists it as uncharacterized. The record is from RefSeq and is a predicted model, not a curated record. NCBI's taxonomy places the organism in Eukaryota, Metazoa, Chordata, Amphibia, Anura, Myobatrachidae. The transcript is spliced from 3 exons.
GCCUUUAAAAGGGAGCUCUUCACAGCUGCUCUGGUUGAUUAAUCACAUGCUUUUAGUUGCCUCAGACUGGAGAGAACUGCACAGAAAUUUAGUGGGUAUCAUAUCCAGAUAACCUGGUUUUAAUAGAGGUUUAUACAUUUCAUCAGAUUUUCUUCACAUCAUUGAGCAUUUUGAUAACGUACCCCUGAUGAAGUCCCGAUAGGGAUGAAACACAUUGGAUCGAUCUAUUGUUUUACUUCUGUAUCGUAUGUUUCAACAAAGAUAUACACUAAAAACUGAAUGUAAAACCGGAUAUAGCCGAAGACGUCCUCUGUAAAAUCACAAAGACGUACUAUGUUUUAUUCUGUACUUUUAUGAAUAAAUUUUAUUCUAUGUAAUUGAAAA